This 585-nucleotide ribosomal RNA is filed under the name uncultured bacterium. RNAcentral's name for it is "bacterial SSU rRNA". It matches the Rfam family "Bacterial small subunit ribosomal RNA", at positions 338 to 916 of the family's 1533-position model. The record is from RNAcentral.
CCUACGGGAGGCAGCAGUGGGGAAUUUUGGACAAUGGGCGAAAGCCUGAUCCAGCAAUGCCGCGUGUGGGAAGAAGGCCUUCGGGUUGUAAACCACUUUUGUACGGAACGAAACGGUUCGCUUUAAUACAGUGGGCUAAUGACGGUACCGUAAGAAUAAGCACCGGCUAACUACGUGCCAGCAGCCGUGGUAAUACGUAGGGUGCGAGCGUUAAUCGGAAUUACUGGGCGUAAAGCGUGCGCAGGCGGUUAUAUAAGACAGUUGUGAAAUCCCCGGGCUCAACCUGGGAAUUGCAUCUGUGACUGUAUAGCUAGAGUACGGUAGAGGGGGAUGGAAUUCCGCGUGUAGCAGUGAAAUGCGUAGAUAUGCGGAGGAACACCGAUGGCGAAGGCAAUCCCCUGGACCUGUACUGACGCUCAUGCACGAAAGCGUGGGGAGCAAACAGGAUUAGAUACCCUGGUAGUCCACGCCCUAAACGAUGUCAACUGGUUGUUGGGUGCAUUAGUACUCAGUAACGAAGCUAACGCGUGAAGUUGACCGCCUGGGGAGUACGGCCGCAAGGUUGAAACUCAAAUGAAUUGACGG